This 72-nucleotide transfer RNA is filed under the name Camelus bactrianus (Bactrian camel). It matches the Rfam family "tRNA". From Rfam's summary of the family: Transfer RNA (tRNA) molecules are approximately 80 nucleotides in length. The record is from Rfam by way of RNAcentral. Lineage: Eukaryota; Metazoa; Chordata; Mammalia; Artiodactyla; Camelidae. RNAcentral also lists the same sequence under 3 other names.
GAGGGUAUAGUUUAGUGGUAAAGUGUGUGCUUAGCAUGCAUGAGGUCCUGGGUUCAAUCCUUAGUCCCUCCA